AAUAAGUACAACCUUGACUUAACAGACGAACAAUUGCGUGUCUUUGCCGCUUUAUAUGCUUGGCGUGAUCGUGUUGCUCGUACUGAAGACGAAAGC
Molecule: non-coding RNA, 96 nt
Filed under: uncultured Tubulinea
Lineage: Eukaryota; Tubulinea
Source: RNAcentral